CAAGUAGGGUUGUAAAUGAAUCGAAUAAUUUUGCUCGAUUCGAGAUUCGAUUCGAAAUUGCCUGAUUCGUAUUCGAAAUUAUUCGAUUCGUAUUCGAUAAUAAAUAUUCGAUUCGAUUCGAUUAUUAUUCAAAUACUUAAAUGAAAUAUUGAUAUUCGAUUCGAUAUUCGUAGUUAUUCGAUUCGAAAUAUAUAUAUAUAUAUAUAAAUAAUUUUUUAUUUUAAAUUAUUGAAUAUACUAAAAAGUAAAACCUAAACCUAAACCUAAUUCACUAAAAGUUAUUCCUCAAAUCUCAUCGCCGCACAGCUCAUUCCUGCACCUCAAAUCUCAUCCUCAACCUCAAAUCUCAAAUCUCAUCGCCGCACAGCUCAAAUCUCCUCCUCAACCUCAUUCCUCAAAUCAGCGCCGCACAGCUCCCUCCUGCACCUAAACCUCGUCGCCCCACCCCCGCCGCAGAUCUGCGCCUGCACCGCGCCGCGCCGCCUGCAUCUGCACCGCGCCGCGUCGCCGCAUACCUCUGCAUCGCCGCCUGCUCCAGAGAUUGCACCGCGCCACAUCGCCGCCUGCAUCUGCACCGGUCGCCGCACCUGCAUCUGCAUCGCCGCCUGCUGCUCCAACUUCUGCAUAUCUAUCUUGAGAGAGAGAGGGAGAAAUGGGUCAGGGGAAUCUCCUCUGCAUAUCGCUGCCGCUAACGGCCAGAUCGAGAUUCUCUCGUUGCUUCUCGACUGAUCCGUGAAGCCGGAUGUGUUGAAUCGGCAUAAACAGAAUGCAGUUAAUGGCCAAUUCAAAUCUAAUAGAAAAUACUCCUCAAGUAGAUGAGAUUACGGUGGAAGUGAAUGAUGUGGAGAAAGAAGUUGUGGAUUGAAGAGGUGUUUGCAAAAGAAGCUUCACGUUAAGUUACAAGCUUGAAGGAAGAUUGAAUGCUUGACAUUUGUUCUAGUAUCAUGUUAUUUUGAUGUAUUUGAAACUUUUCAUGAUGUAUGUUUCUACAUGGAUAUUGUUUAUUUCACAAUAUUUUGAAUUUGUGGCUUAUAUAUUAUUUAACAUUUUUUU
This is a long non-coding RNA of Salvia miltiorrhiza (redroot sage), 1053 nucleotides long. RefSeq lists it as uncharacterized. NCBI's taxonomy places the organism in Eukaryota, Viridiplantae, Streptophyta, Magnoliopsida, Lamiales, Lamiaceae. The transcript has 3 exons. The record is from RefSeq and is a predicted model, not a curated record.